AUGUACAUGCAGGUCUCUAUGUGUGUGUUAGUGUGUAUAUUGGAAGUGCAACCAAGCAAGUCCGUGACAUGUACACACGGGCUCGAUUCCCUCCGGCCCGGUGCAGCAGAAUGCAAUAGAUUCGGAUGGGCUAUGUUUGUACAUGGGCCCUGUAAGGUAUGCAUGGUAGCCGGGCUAUCCGUCCGUGUUAGGAUGUAAACGUGCUAUAUUUCGUACCACCGACUAGCACUUUCAAUGGCGAGCUAAGGAGUUAUACUUUUGGAAAGAUUCCUACAUUCAGUUUUGGCAGGAAUCAUAUUCCUUGGAUCAAGUGCACUGAGCUUACAAUGGGGUGCUUGCAAGCAAGCGUUCGUGCAAUGUGUGGGUGUAUAUGUCGAAUGCGAGAGAGAGAGUGAAAGGGGUCCGGUUCCCUUUAUAUAGGCCAGGGAUCGGGCAACAACGUUAAGAAAUGGAGGGAGUCUCCGACCUCAGAGGUCGGGGUUGCGGCGUGGUCGGAUCUUCCUUGCACCAAGAGGCUUCCUUGUCCUAUCCUCUUAGCUGGUCGUGGGCUUCGCACGCCUUGUACGGUGGUUCCUGUGCAGCAUGGGCUGCUUACGCACGGCUCGGCCUGCUCCGUGGCGUGCCCCUGUCCCUUCCGCCAACCUCGUGGCAGUGAACGGGAUGAGAGCUGUUGCUGACAUCCGUGCUGGUGAUGAAUGGGCAGGCCUUGAUUAGUGGCCUGGACGGAGUGUGCCGCUCGUCCCGACUUUCCCUGACCUCUUUAGUGCACUUACGGCCGCACCUCACCUGCGGGACCGUACCGGGCCUAGCAUGGUGGCAUGGCCUCGAUCUUGAUGGAUCUCCUUGACAGCGAAGGCAAUGAUGACGCAAGGGCGCGUGGGCGCGUACGGCCGCGUGUGGCCUCGUCUUGCAGACCGUUCUGGGUGGUCUGAAGGGUGUAGCCUCACCCUCAAACCCCGAUUAAAAGGUCGGCUUGCCUUGCCCGAUUAUGUCCUUGGUGGGAGGCGAUCAGGGGGCCACGCUCUGCAUUUAAUACCUCUUUGUACGGUGCAAGUCUCCCUGAGUCAAGGAGUGGGUGAAGCACGGUGAGUCCCUUGCGAGCCCUGCCCCCGAGCUGGCUGAGCUGGCGAGUCAAGGCUCUUGACUCCCAACCAAGGGAGGUCGGGCGGUGGACCGCAACGUCAUCUGGGCCCUUUUCCAUAUGCUUUUAGCUGUUGAGCUUUUAACCUUUUUGUUGCCAUCACCUUAAGCCCCUUUCUUGAGGGUAUCCUGAUACAUGAACCCAUCACCUAGCAGCGCCGGUGGUGAGUGGAGGAAGAGGAAGGAGGGAGAGGAGGAAGCGGGUGGAUGGGCUCGGGACAGAGGAGGGAGGAGGAACCUGUCAAUGACGGAUGGGUCCCACCGGUACGCCGAUUACUAUCAGCCCACCAUUUUUCAUAAAAAAUUAGUUUCGCCGCGUACUCACCAAGGCCACCACCGCACCGCGUCUCACACGGUCGGGUUGGGUGGGUGGUGGAUCCACAGCACAUGAUUUCCACCACGCAUGUGCUGCGCCUUUUUUUUUAAUUGCCGCCUAGUUUCUUCUCAUAUUAAUUAGUAACAAUGCAUUUGUUUAUCUGUGGUAUGCAUCACAGCCGACAGUACAAUGCUGUUUUCUUAAGGGCGUCUGAAAUCGCACGAUUAGUUUACCAUUGUAUACCUAGCCUGAGAUCUUUGCACAAGCAUAUCAUCAAACAAUGUUACCCAACAUCUAUCAUAUUUCCUCCAUCCCAAAUUCCUAAAUUAUAAGUUAUUUUUGACUUUAUUAAAGUUAUAGACUUUAUUAUGCAUUUAAAUAUACCUUAUGUCUAUGCAUAUAGAAAAACUAAAAUAACUUAUAAUUUGGAACGGAGGAAGCAUCUGACAAGCACUCACAUCGUACUACACUCUUGUUCGGUGUCCAACUUUGACCAAUGAUCGAUCAAGACGGAAAAAGAAUGGUACUAAGCAGUAUGUAUAUCACAUUAUGUAUAGUAAGCAUCUAUUCUAGCUACAAGUUUUUUAUAAAAAAGAGAGCUGAUGAAUCGGUUGAAUUGAAUGUUGGGGGGAAGGAAUGCCGGCUGCCGUGGGCGGCAAUUCAAGUCAGUGAGCUAGUCAGAGUGGCAGGACCGCACUCCGGGAUUCCCCCCUGCUGUGGCUGAAGGAGAAGAAGGACCGCCGCAGCCUCCUCGACGAACUGUCGGCGGCGGUGUCCCCUUUGCCGGCGGCUUCUCCUUGGGAGGCCGAACCCUGCUGCAGCAGCAGGAUCCUCUGCAGAGCGAGGUAGAAGCGCCUGUCGGUGGACGAGUCCAUGGACAGCGACCGCCGCACCGGCAGCAAGUUAUUGGUGCUGCUGGGUGUUUCCUCUGCCUCGGGGCAAGUUGUGGUAGCAAUAUCUAUGACGAUGCCGUCGGCAGGCUGAAGCUCAACGACGGCGGCCCUGCAGAGCGGGCAGUUGGCGGUGGCCUGGAGCCAGGCGUCGAUGCAGUCGAUGUGGAAGGCGUGGAGGCACGGCGGCAGCAGGCGGAGCCGCUCGCCGUCGCGGAAGUCGGCCAGGCACACGGCGCACUCGGUUGCUGCGGUGCCGGCCUUGGCCACUGGUAACAGCUGCUGGCCGCCGUAGCGGAAGGUGGGGAUCCGGCGUAUGGCCACCUCCUCGAGGCCGCCGCUCCGGCGGGGUGGUUCUUGCGUAACGGAGACGGCGACGGAGAUGCUCUGGUCGGCGCGCCAGAAGAGCAGGCCGCAGCGGGUGAGGAAGAGGUAGUAGGCCAGCAGCAGGAGCGCGGUGGAGAGGAUGCCGACGAUGGACACGGACAGGAUCACGAAGCUGCUGCCGGGCACCGACGACGACUCCAUUAAUUGGAAUGGGAAUAUGGGAUUGCUGGACUGAAUGAAGCUUCUGAAGACGAUGGGUAGAUGGUGAUGGAAGAAUGGGAUUUGAAGCGAUGGACGAUCAUUACAAGUAGAAAGAAAGGAUCGAGGUUGGUUGAAACUGAACGCGGGUUCCUUCCUGCGUGCUCUGCUUUUGGUCCUUUUUGCGCGUGAGCACCAUCAUCGCGUCAAAUGCAGCUGCAGGCAAGGACCAGGAAGAAGAAGGAAACCGUGUGGUUGGCAGGCCGGCUUUUUUUUUCCCGGUGUUCUCUAGUGGAGACGAGACGACUUGACGACUGCCCAAGUCACAAGAUGGAGCAGCAGGCACAUGCACAUGCUGACAUGCUGUCCAACAGUCCAAGUCCGACGACUACCGGGGCAGGGCUUGGAUUGGAUUGGAUUGGAUCACAAGGAAGUCACUUGCUGACUUGCAAUUGUUGCAUUCUCUCUCAGCUCGCUACGUAUGAAAAAGGCAUGCUGCAGCUACUAGACUGUACUCUACUCCACGUCGUCAGGUGGACCAUCUCUCUGCUUCCUUUUCUUAUUCCCCAAAAAGGAACUCCCUCACUUGGGCUCUACCGUACCCGAAUUAGUUGACCCAACUAAUAUGGAUGCCAGCCCAUUCAACUUGCAAUACCAAAGCCCAGUAACUGCGUAUUCCCUCCGUUCCAAAGUUAUUUUAGACUUUGGUACAUAUAAGUGCGUAAUAAAAUCUAUAAAUUUAAAUAAACUAAAUAAACUAAAACGACCCGGUUACACAACUGCCAGGUGUAACCAUUAAUUAUCCAUCCGUUACUUCUUGCAGUUGUAUCCAUAUCGCACGUAACCAUGAUUCCAAAAUUCCUAGCCCUUCAUUCUGAAUGCAAUUGUAACUAAAUAUAUAUGCAAUUAUAUCUUGCUCUGCUAUAGGCUAUAGCAGCUAGCCUGCUAUGGCCAACAAAUCCUGGCCGAAUAAUAGCCUAUGCGAUACUAAAAAAAUAUAAGUUAUUGUUCAUACUUUUGGCCGAAAAUUACUUAAAAAUUUCAGAAAUCUUCAUACUACUCCAGUAAACCAAAUUAAAUGGCUACAAGUCUGAAAAAUAGCUAAAGCUUAUGCUUUAGGCCAAAAAUCAUCAUACCCCUCUAGUAACCCCGGAACGACUAGAAAAGCCAAAAACAUUAUCUAUAGUUACUGAUUUGCCCAUAAAUAUGUCAAAAUGCUUAAAUCUACCAACCUAUACACAAAAACAACGACGACUUGGAAUACCUACCAUUUUCAUUCUAGCUAUCUCAUCCUUAUCCUGCCUCGUCUACCCCUACUUCUCACACUUCGUUCAAACAUAACAGAUAAUUAGUAAGCAUCACGAAUUGAUAAGCCAUUAGUGUCGUGGCUCACUAGUAAGUAGUAACAAAUAAUAAGGAUCACAAUAUAUAUACGUGGACAGUGUAAGUUCCAACAAUUAACUUAUGAACAUGCCAUUACAAUUCCAUUAAUCUAGCUAGCAAAGUGUCAAUUUGCCGUAAACUAUUCAAUGUAGCAAUUGAAGCACGAGAUCUAACCAUGGGCACAUGAAUUAAAUAUUGUCAACUUAAUGACAAGGUAUAUAUCGUUAUUCUCUCCAUCACCAUCAACUAUAUAUAUGCUGAAUUAUAUUUAGUUUACAUCCACUGAUGCAUGCAUCAUCCAUCACAAUUAAGGGAUUCUCUAGCUAGCUAUGCGAUGAUAAAAAUUUCAACAUACUACAUACUAGCUCUGAAGAAAUUAAAGCAUGCACAGUUGAGAUUGAGAUCGAAACUAAAUAAAGACCGUACGUACAUAUUGCGAUGACCAUCCACGUACAAUGCAUUCAACCGCAGCAUAUAAGACCACGCAUUUACUAAUUAUUAAAUGAAAUUUUAUAUUCUUUAGUUAAAUUAGUUGUUCUUAAUAUACAAUUACAUAUAUACACAUGCAAAUUAAUAUAUAGCUGCUGAAAAGAGCUAGAGGGGGUGAGGGCCCCGUCUUCCACAAUGUCUCCUCCAUCACCGCGAGAAUCAGCAUCUUCCUUUGUCACGAGCCAUGGCCUUCCAUUAGCUAACUAGGGCUUCUUACUAGCAAGCCGUAGCUUCUGUUAGUCACCUUAAAUACACGGCGCCACCAUCGCCAUCAUGUCACACCGCAAGUAAGCAACCAGAAACCACACUCAGUAAGCUAGCAGUGUGCAACAGCAGCUACUACCUGGUUCUCUCUUAGCUUGCUGCAUGCUAAUCACUACUUGUGUACUGUGAUUGCAGUAGCAGUUAGGGUUAGCAGAUCCCGGAUCAUCGAUCGGAUUGAUCAAGCUAGCUAGCUGAUCGAUUGGGAUUUGCAUCGACGAUCAUUAAGCUAGCUGAUCGAUGGAGGGCGGUGGAUGGGAUGAUCAGGGGAAGGACGCGGGAGAGGCCACCAAGUACCGCGGCGUUCGGCGCCGCCCGUCGGGCAAGUUCGCCGCCGAGAUCCGCGACUCCAGCCGGCAGAGCGUGCGCGUGUGGCUCGGCACCUUCGACACAGCGGAGGAGGCGGCGCGGGCGUACGACCGCGCGGCCUACGCCAUGCGCGGCCACCUCGCCGUGCUCAACUUCCCCGGCGAGGCGCGCAACUACGUGCGCGGCGGGUCGUCGUCGUCGUCUUCCCGCCAGCAGCAGCAGGGAGGAAGUGGCCGGCAGGUGAUCGAGCUGGAGUGCCUGGACGACCAGGUGCUGCAGGAGAUGCUCAAGGGAGGUGACGGAAAAAACAAUUGACACACAUAUCGUUCUGAUCUGGUGACUGCAUGCCCUGCCCAGCACCUACCAGCUCGGUCUUUCAUUCUUCUGAUCAACCUAUAUUAAUUAUAAAUCUACAUGCUUCUCAGCAGCUUGUUCAAUUUCAAGGCCGGAUUUCUUAUCCUUAAUUAAUAAUCUAAAAAAAAGGCCUGCUCAAUUUCUUCCGUGUGCAUGUAUACCAAGCUUGGAAGUUAAUACAGGAUCUGUUUGCUCAAAAACCAGUGAUGAUCUGAUGAUGACCUGAUCAUCAUCUGUGACCCAUGUAUAUUGAUCUUAAUUGCAUAACAAUAGCACGUGCUUGCUUUGCUUAAAUAACCCAUUAGCCUUUUGUAAAGAUCGCACUCUCAGCUCCUAUGUUUCCGGUAGUGCAUGCAUCAUCAGGGAUAUGAUCGAUCUACUGAUCGAUGAAGGAUCCGAGCUGAGGUGCUGCGAUAUUGCUGAUUGUGUCUCCACUCAAUCUCCACAUUAUUUUUCAGUAUUAACCUGUGGUGAAUUCAAGGUAUAAACCUCUCAUGCAUACACCCAGAUAUAUAGCUAAUCCAAAAAGACCAACUAAUUAAUAACAAGAUGCAUAUGGUUUGUUGGUUCCACACAGAUAGAAGAGCAUAAAAUGCUCGACAACAUAUAUUCAAUUGUUAUGCGUAUGCAUGUAAACAGUUAAUGAUGUAUGAAGAAGUGGCAUAGAUAAUCCCUAGCUUUAAUUUACCACACGAAAUAAUCUCUCUGUGGCCUUUUGCAAUUAAGCACAUUCAUCCUCCGUUCUUGUGUGUACGCAGAUUGCAUGUUCUGUUGCCAUGGUGACGAUCAGAGCAACCGUGCAAAAUUUGGCACUUUCAGGUUGCAACAGAGGUCACAGCAAUCCUUUCCAAAAUAAGCUGCUCUAAACUGCAUAAAGUCAUAUAUAUGGUUUUAGGUGUGACCAUCCAUAUUUGAAAUAGUAUAUGUAAUUAAACUGCUAUGUAUGUGAAGCUGGUAUUAAUAGGUUUCAAGUUUCAUUAUGAAAUUUAUAUCUUUACCUAUGCUGUUAUAUGUACUUUAGAAUAUAUAUAGUAACUUUGCUAUGUUCAAAGUAACAAGCAAAGUACUACAUUAGAAUAUAUAUCUAUAGUAUUUUUGAGAUCAGGUGGCAAUUCUAAACAUUCUACUACUGUCACAAUCAUCAUAUCAAUAGCAGCAUUUUUCUUCUUCCUCAAUCACUAAUUAAAAUACAAAUAUAUGGAUUCAUGAAUUUGUUCCAGUAAAACAUAUAAUAAAACAUCAAAAGAAUAAAGAAUAUUUUUCCUACUUCAUGUUGUAUAUAUACACUUGUUGAACCUGAAUAUCUAUAUGAAGGGGAAAAAAAGUGUUUUGGAGGGUUGUGGUGAAAUGGUGACACGUACGGCAUGGAUAGGGGUAGAAUAAAUAAUCAUUGGGUAUACAUUGUACACAGCCUGGAGCUGUGUCAUUCAACCUAUGAAUAAUUAUGUGGGUUCAUUAAUUAUUAGGGAAUCAUGAAGAAUUUCUAAUUGUUCUACCCUGCUGUGUAUAUAGGCCACCAUUGUAGGUGACUCACAUUAGCUCCUAGAAUUUUUUUUUAAGAUAAUGGCAUAUAUCAUAUCAUCUUGAAUUUCUAUAAGUUGCAUAUAUAAUUCUUGCUUUAACCACGGCAUUCUUGUCGAAAUAGAAGUAUCCAAUUUAGUCCUAGUUCGUGUAUUAGUUGUCAAGUAACCAAAGGUGUCUCUUCCCAAAACCUUGUAGCGCAUUUUCACAUCCAUCCACUCUUCAUUUAGCCAUGUACUUUGGGUUCCUAUUCCCUCUGCUUACAUGCACGUUCUCUUUUCAUUUGCAUGCCAAUAUGAUUAUUAUCUACUAGACAUUUUUAGCCUCUAUCGGGACAAUGAAAUUGCAUGCAUGCAAACGCUUCGUUAACCUGUUAUUAAUCAUUUGGAUAUACUAGCUUAAUUAGCUGUAUUCAUUUUCCAUUUUUUAUCUAUUUGGAAGCCGAGUGCUAAUUCUUAACAAGAUGAGACACAUCUAUCCGUCACAUGCAUAAUUUGUCGUCACUUAAGUAUUACAUUAGGCUACACAGCUUGUGAAAAGUCGUAUGAGCUUUACUCAACAAAUUAGCGCAUAGCUGGCCUAUAAAUAAACCUGGAAGAAGACUGGCCUUCAAAUGCUUGGCCCUCAUCAUAUCCUCCCAAAUAAUAAUGUUAAGCUUGUCCCAUAACAGUUUCUUUACAUAUAUACAUAUAUUGUGUAGGGACAGUUAUGAAAAGGUUCUGUUGUUUGAGUUCAAUGGAUGCAGUGGUUGAAAUCAUGCAUGCUGCUUUGCUGGAUGGUGAUGCUGAUGCUGUAAAGGGGUGAUAUGUAUACGUAAUCGAAAUUACGUAAUAAGAUGAGGCGUAGGUGUUUAAACAAGAGUAUAAAGUGGAGAUAAAGGCUAGCUUGAUUCAGUUAUAAUUAAGUUGGAAACAGUAUAAUGCAUGACCUACCAGCAGGAACAAACUAAACCAUAAUCAUAUACGGCUAGCUAGCAGAGACGACUUUUCUUGCUCCGAAUAGAUCAGCAGCAAUGGGCAUGGUUUCAGAUUGAUUUGUGUUGUGUGGCAGGCAUAUAUAGAUACAAAACUAGAUUUAUAAUGAGUAACCAGUACUCUGGAAUCAGAUGCAUUUUCUAGCUGGUCCUUUAUUUGGUCUGGGCAAAGGUAAACUUUUUGUGCCUUUGUUAGAUUUGCGGAUCAACCUUUUUCUAAUCAGUUGGGAGCUGAGAGUGAGCAUACCAGCUUCUAGAAGGAAUUAGCUGCAUGCGUGCCUGACAUCAAAUUUUUUUGACGACACAUAAGCACAAAAAGAAGCUUAAUUCAUCGCCAGUAAGUAGAAGGAGCUAGGAGCAUGCAUGUGGAUUAUAUAUACUAGGCGAGAAUUUGAUGCUCUUGACCAGGGCAAGUUGAAGCCAGUACGUCAAUUCAUAGUCAUGGAUGCAUGCAUGCGGCAGAGUAUGCAGUACCGAUAUUUCAGAUUACUGUAUGACAAAAGAAGAAUGGCUCUCUCCUCUCCUCUGAAUUGCAACCAAAAGAGACAGAAGCACACACACUGUACACUGUGCAACAAUUCCAUCUCUAAGUUAACGUGCCGUUGAUUAACACCUAGUGUUGCCAUAAUAAAUUGAAGAAUCAUCAGGAAUAAAAAAUAAUAUAGAGCAUGUUUAGCAGCACAUGUAGUUGUUGUUCUUUUUAAGGAAAGGCGGCAUAUAUAUAGUUGAAGAGAAGGUCCGGCUUUAUUCAGUUUUCCAGCCAAGUGGGCCAUAUUCCCACUUGAAUCGGCCCAUAUGGCUACGUAGCUGCAAUAAUUGAUUGUUUUUGUUGCAGAGGUCUGUCGACUUGUCUGUGGAUGGUCGGGGCCAUUUUUGGCCCAAUUCGUGAGAUAUAUAGAGCAUGUUUUUUUUUUCUUUCUAUUCGCUUUCGAUACUGGAGGAGUAAGGGCAUUUUAAAAUUUUGAUGAAUUAUUUCAGCCUCCCACACCGUUCUUGUUGUGCAGGUGUCCAUGGAUAUCUUUGUUUCAGAGAAUUUGCUCAAAGGAUUAUCUAAAGCUCAUGUUUUUUUUACCUCUCAUGUUGUUGCAGGUCUAUCUAACAUGUCUCUGGAUUUUCAGAUGCCGUGGCAUUUCCAGUCCAAUUCAUUAGGCUAUAGCUCAAUUUUUUUUGGAUCUUCCUAUUUUCUCUGGAUGUAUUGGAGGAGUAAGAGCAUUUUGAAAUUUUGACCAAAUAUUUGUAAAAAGCUUGUGCUAUCCUCGUGUUUUUUAGCCUCCCAUAUCGUUCAACUACUGUGGAGGUGUCCAUGGUUAUCUCUUUCUCGGAGGAUUCUUGGAUCAAUGAGUGACCUAAAGCUCAUGCUUUUUGCCUCACAUGUUGUUGCAAGUCUGUUGGAUGUGUUUAUAUAUUUUUUUAUUACAUGACAUUUUCGGUCCAAUGCGUGAGCUACAUAGCUCAAGUUUUUUAUCUUUCAAUCCGCUCAGAAUUUUACUGAUGGAGUUUGAGCAUUUUCAUUUUUUAGGAUCUUUUGCAAAAAAGAAAAAAAAUCUUGUUAUACUCCCUUGGUACUAAAAUGUAAGAGAUUUUAGUUUUGUUCUAUAUCAAAAUUCUUUAACUUCAAUUAAGUUUGUAGAAAAUAUAUUAACAUCUACAGCACAUUAAUACCAAAUAAACACAUACAUAUUUCAUGAUGGAUUUAAUGAAAUUAAUUUGAUGUUACGACGAUGCAUUUUUCUAUAAACUUAAUGUUAGAGAUAUUUGACUUUAAAAAUAAAACCUCUUGCUUUUGGGAACGGCAUGUGUACUGUAGUGCUCUUUGUUCUUGCCACACUACGGAUGGGUCAUUCUGCCUUUUAUUUUUAUUUUCAGCUUCACACACUAAAACAUAAAGCACCAGUACUAACUGGAAAUAAAUCGGAUAUUAUUAUUGGAUCACACGCCCCUUGCAUUGGUACCUUGCUCUCGAAAGCGAAAAUCAGUAAAUUCUGUAAUACUUCUGUUAAACUCAUUGCUCUAUCAAUGAAAUAGACGGUGCCUUGUAUUUGCUCAUGCAACAACAAAAAAAUCGAGUACAACAACACACAUAAGACUUGUUUCUUUUAUUCAUUGAUGAUACAAAAACAUAGUACAGCAUAAGCACGUGAAUGCAUGCUGAUGAUGGAAACACGCACCGGAAAACGUUGAUACACAUAUACGUCCACACAAAACAGUAGUGCUACAUGUACAUAGCUCACUCUUACACAAAUACUAUUGCUUGGUCAUAGCCAAGAGCUAGAUAGAUGCAUGGGUUGCAUGCGCGUUGGUCGGUCACAUUCUCUCAGUUCCCUCCCAUGGUGCCUGUGCCAAUGGGUGACGAGAGGGACGGUGGCUCCGGCUUUGAUGGUGUCGGUUUGGGGCCUGGCUGGGGAUCUGGCUUGGAUGGUUGAGGUUGGGGUUUCGGCUCAGGCUCAGGUGUAGGUUUCGGGCUUGGCUCAGGCUUGGGUUUGGGCUUCGGUGUGGGUUUAGGAUCUGGGCGGGGAACUGGCGUGGAUGCCCUUGGCUUUGAUUUUUCUUCAAGUGAAGAUUUGGGGUUCAGCUCAAGCUCUAGCUUUGACGGUCCCGGUUGGGGUUCGGGCUUUAGGUCAGGUUGUGGAGCGGGGUUAUUCGGAUCCGGUUGCGGUUCUGGCUUUGGAUCAGGCUGUGGUGUUGGUUUGGGUUCCGGCUUCGGGUCAGGUUGUGGCGUGGGGUUUGGAUCGGGCUGCGGUUGGGGCUUUGGGUCAGGCUGUGGUGUUGGUUUGGGUUCCGGUUUCUUGUCAGGUUGUGGCGCAGGGUUUGGAUCAGGCUGCGGUUGCGGCUUCAGGUCAGGCUGCGGUUGGGGCUUUGGGUCAGGUCGUGGUGUGAGGUUUGGAUCAGGCUGCGGUUGGGGCUUUGGAUCGGGCUGCGGUUGGGGGUUUGGGUCAGGUUGUGGUGUUGGGUUUGGAUCAGGCUGCGGUUGGGGCUUUGGGUCGGGCUGUGGUGCCGGGUUUGGAUCAGGCUGCGGUUGUGGCUUUGGGUUGGGUUGUGGUGUUGGUUUGGGAUCUGGCUUUGGGUCUGGUUGUGGUGUUGGUUUGGGAUCUGGCUUUGGAUCAGGUUGUGGUUCGGGCUGUGGUGUUGGUUUGGGCCGUGGCUUUGGGUCGAUCACCCUGCCACAGGCAAGGUCAGGAACACUUGCAGCAAGUGUGAGGACUAGGGCCAAGAGGAGAGCGGACCUCAUCGCGCUAGCUGCCACUGGAAUCGUAGC
This 11417-nucleotide long non-coding RNA is filed under the name Setaria italica (foxtail millet). RNAcentral describes it as "long non-coding RNA (SITA_LNC004874)". The record is from RNAcentral. Lineage: Eukaryota; Viridiplantae; Streptophyta; Magnoliopsida; Poales; Poaceae.